AGAUGGAUGAACAUUGACAAUAAUUGCAUAUUGUCUAUGACUCUAUCUCUGUUUCUCUAUUUCUCUCCAAUAUUUAGAUGUUGCAAUAAUAAUUGCAGACAGUCGGUUGCCAUUGAAUGAAAUUAUCGUCAGUGGAGAUUUAUUCG
Molecule: non-coding RNA, 146 nt
Organism: Caenorhabditis elegans
Lineage: Eukaryota; Metazoa; Nematoda; Chromadorea; Rhabditida; Rhabditidae
Source: Ensembl